CCUUCUUUUCUUUCUUUUCCAUGUCCCUUCGUUUUCUACUUUUAUUUAACUUUUUUUCCCUUUUCAUCAUCUUUUUUCCUUUAUUUCUUUCAUCUUUCUUCUUUUUUCCUCACAUGGAUGGAUGGGUUCAAAAGUUCGAUCCUGCCUUCGAUCCUGCCCCAAUCUCGUUUUCUCAUAAGAAUGGGAUGGGAUGAUUGAGAUGCCCUCCAUCUCAUCAGGAUAUAAAAUCUUGGCCA
RNAcentral lists this long non-coding RNA (236 nucleotides) under Elaeis guineensis (African oil palm). Its description in RNAcentral is "long non-coding RNA (EGUI_LNC014077)". Lineage: Eukaryota; Viridiplantae; Streptophyta; Magnoliopsida; Arecales; Arecaceae. The record is from RNAcentral.